AACACAUGCAAGUCGAACGGAGAGGCCUUUUCGGAGGUACUCGAGUGGUGAACGGGUGAGUAACACGUGGGUGAUCUGCCCUGCACUCUGGGAUAAGCCUGGGAAACUGGGUCUAAUACCGGAUAGGACCGCACUUUAGUGUGUGUGGUGGAAAGUUUUUUCGGUGUAGGAUGAGCCCGCGGCCUAUCAGCUUGUUGGUGGGGUAAUGGCCUACCAAGGCGGCGACGGGUAGCCGGACUGAGAGGUUGGUCGGCCACAUUGGGACUGAGAUACGGCCCAGACUCCUACGGGAGGCAGCAGUGGGGAAUAUUGCACAAUGGGCGCAAGCCUGAUGCAGCGACGCCGCGUGGGGGAUGACGGCCUUCGGGUUGUAAACUCCUUUCGCCAGGGACGAAGCGUUUUGUGACGGUACCUGGAGAAGAAGCACCGGCUAACUACGUGCCAGCAGCCGCGGUAAUACGUAGGGUGCAAGCGUUGUCCGGAAUUACUGGGCGUAAAGAGCUCGUAGGUGGUUUGUCGCGUCGUCUGUGAAAUUCCACAGCUUAACUGUGGGCGUGCAGGCGAUACGGGCAUAACUUGAGUACUGUAGGGGUAACUGGAAUUCCUGGUGUAGCGGUGAAAUGCGCAGAUAUCAGGAGGAACACCGAUGGCGAARGGCAGGGUUACUGGGCAGUUACUGACGCUGAGGAGCGAAGGCAUGGGUAGCAAACAGGAUUAGAUACYCUGUAGUCCAUGCCGUAAACGGUGGCCGCUAGGUGUAGGGGGC
Molecule: ribosomal RNA, 766 nt
Filed under: uncultured Corynebacterium sp.
Lineage: Bacteria; Bacillati; Actinomycetota; Actinomycetes; Mycobacteriales; Corynebacteriaceae
Description: bacterial SSU rRNA
Rfam family: Bacterial small subunit ribosomal RNA
Source: RNAcentral